RNAcentral lists this unclassified non-coding RNA (735 nucleotides) under Zea mays. RNAcentral's name for it is "misc RNA Zm00001eb144230". Lineage: Eukaryota; Viridiplantae; Streptophyta; Magnoliopsida; Poales; Poaceae. The record is from RNAcentral.
CUGCCCCUCUCCUUCCGACCCGCCAGCUGCCACCCCUUCGCGGAAUCGCAGCUUCGGCCUCCGGCGACCGGCGGUCCGGCCUCACGCGACACGCUCGACUCCGGCCUCUGCGGCUCAGCCAACCGCGCCGUCGUGCGCGUCAGCCUCCACGGGCCCCGCUCUCGGCUCUCGCCCCUCCACGGUCAGGCCUCAGCCACGCCGCACGCGCCCGGAGCGGCGGCGCCCGCCUCCUCGGCUCCGCGACGCGGCCUCAGCCACGCUACACGUGGCCACGCCGCACACCGGUACGCUCAGCCGCGCGCCCGCCUCUGCCUCCUCGGCUCCUCCCCUACUCGUGUCUUCCUGGUGCUUGGCUGCUCCAGUGCUCGGCCCUUGCUGCAGUGCCGCUCGGUCGCGUCGGCACCUGCUGCAAAUCUGCUCGACCUCGGCUGCUCGGCUUCCUGUUCCUUCUGCGUGGUCUGCCUCGUGCUCCCCUACGACGAGGGUCUCUUCGAACUCGUCCUGACGGCCAUUUCCCCUCUGCUUGUCAGCCGCCGCGGGCUCGCCUCACCCGACGGAACGCGCACCAGGGCUGCCGUCGUGGCCAUAGCUUGCAUAAUUGCAGCCGCACUCCCCAUCUCCCUCUCUUCCAUCUCCCACCACAAAGCACCACCUCUCUUCUCCAUUCCUCUUCCCUUGUGGGCAGCUCAUCCCUCUGCCGCACCAUUCGCCAUUCACUUCUCCACUCUCUCAUGA